RNAcentral lists this ribosomal RNA (134 nucleotides) under Bifidobacterium minimum. RNAcentral describes it as "partial 16S ribosomal RNA". It matches the Rfam family "Bacterial small subunit ribosomal RNA", at positions 380 to 526 of the family's 1533-position model. The record is from RNAcentral. Lineage: Bacteria; Bacillati; Actinomycetota; Actinomycetes; Bifidobacteriales; Bifidobacteriaceae.
AGCCUGAUGCAGCGACGCCGCGUGCGGGAUGAAGGCCUUCGGGUUGUAAACCGCUUUUGAUUGGGAGCAAGCGAGAGUGAGUGUACCUUUCGAAUAAGCACCGGCUAACUACGUGCCAGCAGCCGCGGUAAUAA